Molecule: small nuclear RNA, 98 nt
Filed under: Canis lupus familiaris (dog)
Lineage: Eukaryota; Metazoa; Chordata; Mammalia; Carnivora; Canidae
Also listed under: 1 other name
Source: RNAcentral
GUUGGUAUUUUAAAACCUAGUUAAUAUUCAAAUAGUGAAGUUUAAUAUGUCCCCUACACAAGGAUGAUAUGCAAUUUUGUGACAUAUUUCAUAUUUUU